RNAcentral lists this ribosomal RNA (378 nucleotides) under Triticum aestivum (bread wheat). RNAcentral describes it as "partial small subunit ribosomal RNA". The record is from RNAcentral. Lineage: Eukaryota; Viridiplantae; Streptophyta; Magnoliopsida; Poales; Poaceae.
AUGCUUGCUGGAAGCAGUGGUGGCCAGCCUCCAUUUGAAGCCUUCCUCUGCCCUGUUAAAUGUGAGCGCCUUCUUAAGGAUGGAUGGGGGUCACAAAUUGCAUACAAGAAACCCAAUAACAUCCCUUGGGAUGAGUACUCCAAGUUAUUCGUGAUGGCUACUACAAACUCAGCAACAGCCAGCCUGAGGAGGAAAAUAAUCUGGCCUCUCCUGCCGGUUCUUUUGUGGAGCAUAAGGCCGACGUCAUUUCUGAAGUAUCUGCUCCCCAUGUCGCUAACGAGUGCUCAGAUUACAAGCCUCUUGAAGAGAAUGAGAAGCCACCACUUGGGACUCGUUGAGGUGCAUGGAACGAGGAGACAUGAUAUACUGGGCAUGUAA